AAGAAAAACAAAAGAAAAGAGAAAACAAAAGACUAGCCCUUCUUCUUGAGCUUCUCUGGUAGCAUGAUCAUCUCCCACAUCCUCUUCUUCAUCAACUCUUAAGACCGACGCCCAUUCAGAUCCUUGGAAGUUUGAGCAUGGUGGAGAGGAACUAUAGUUAUCAACUUGAGUUUGCGAGUUAGCGAAAUUCGAUUUGUGAAAUCGUCCAUUUCAAAGUGUCUUUUUGAAGAAACUAGUUGGGACUUUCAUCCAACAGCUUAUCGGCUGAAAGAAAACUCGCAGCUUUCGGCAUCUUACAAUACACAACUCUGGUGUGUGCGAGAUGGACACUAUUCAAUAGCUACGAUGAGCACCGAGCAGCAGAAUGCUUCUUCGUCCUCUUACCGGUGCACAUAUGAUGCAUUCUUAAGUUUCAGAGGUGCAGAUACACGCAAGGGUUUUGCAGAUCACCUCUACAGUGCUUUGGAGUUGGCAGGAAUCCACACUUUUAGAGAUGAUGAUGAAAUUGAGGGAGGAGCAAACAUCGAACAGGAGCUACAGACAGCAAUACAAGAGUCACGAGUAUCAGUCAUUGUUUUUUCCACGGACUACGCCUCUUCCACGUGGUGCCUGAAUGAACUUGCUAUCAUCAUGGAACGUACAAAAACAGAUGGACACAAGGUUGUGCCAGUUUUCUAUGAUGUGGAACCAUCAGAUGUUAGGAAACAGACGGGCAGUUUUGCAGACUCAUUUACUAUACAUGAACAGCGCUUCAAGGACAAGAUAGACAAGGUGGAGGAGUGGAGACGAGCUCUUAGAGAAGUAACAGACCUGGGAGGGAUGGUUUUAGGAGAACGGUACGAGUCGCACUUUAUCCAAGAUAUUGUUGAAGCUUUUGGAAAUAAACUGGACUACAUGAACAUGUGGAAUAGGAGAUUAAGAGUUGAUCCCUAUGUAAUUGGAAGAGAUUAUUAUGUGGAAAGCCUGAACACCUGGCUAGAAGAUGGAUCAAAUGAUGUUGGAGUAGCUGUCAUCCAUGGAAUGGGUGGAAUAGGCAAGACCACCAUUGCUAAAAUUGCUUAUAACCAGAACUUCUCUAAAUUUCAAGCUAGCAGCUUUCUAUCAGAUAUUAGGGAAACUUCCAAACAAGCCAAUGGUUUUGUUCACUUGCAGAGGAACCUUCUUUCCGAUAUCCAAAAGAGGAAAGUGAACAAUAUAUACAGCCAUGAUGAAGGUAUAGUAAAGAUCAAACGGGCUGUACGUUGCAAAAGAGUUCUUAUUGUUCUCGAUGAUGUUGAGAACUUGGAACAGUUCAAUGUGAUUCUUGGAAUGCGAGACUGGCUCCAUCCUGGAAGUAAAAUUAUCAUAACAACUAGACAUGAACAUUUGUUAAGGGCUGAAGUUUGUGUAAGGUUUAAGGUUGAAGGAUUACCUGAGCAUCAAUCACUUAAGCUUUUCAGUUGGCAUGCCUUUGGACAAACCCAUCCUCAAGAAGGUUACAUGGAGCUUUCAAGACCUGUAGUAGAACAUUGUGGAGGGGUUCCAUUAGCUCUUCAAGUUCUGGGAUCUUCUCUAUUUGGAAAAACAGUAGAUGUAUGGAAAAAUGCAUUUCACAACCUAGACGUGAUUACUGAGGGAAAAAUUCAAAAGAUUCUUGGCAUAAGUUUUCAUUCUUUACAAGAUCAUGAUAAACGUUUAUUCCUCCACAUAGCCUGUUUCUUCGUAGGGAAGGACAAGGAUUUUACAACUACAAUCCUUGACGAAUGUGAUUUUGCCACAGAGGUUGGACUUCAACAUCUGGUUGAUAGAUACCUUGUGGAAAUUAAUGUCCACAACAAGUUAAUCGUGCAUCAAUUACUUCAAGACAUGGGAAGGGCAAUAAUUCAUGAAGAAUCAUCUGAGGACCCUGGAAAGCGCACUAGACUGUGGCAUAAAGAUGCAUUUAACGUUUUGACAAAAUUAACGGGUACGAGAACUAUCAAGGGCUUCAUGCUCCACUUUCUCCCAACAGAUUCAUCUCCGGUAAAUGAGGUAGGUUUCGAAACAAAGGCAUUCACAGAGAUGCUCAAUCUUGAACUACUUCUGCUUGAUAAUGUAAAGUUGAGUGGAAGCUAUGAAGAUUUUCCAAAAAAAUUAAUAUGGUUGUCUUGGAGAGGAUUGUCUUUAAAAUCAAUACCGGCCAAUUUUUGUUUGGAAAAUCUAGUUGCUCUAGACUUACGGAAGAGCAGUCUGCAACGUGUUUGGAAAGGAACCAGGUUUCUUACAAGAUUGAAAAUUCUUAAUCUCAGUCAUUCACAUGGCCUUUGGACAACAUCUGACUUGUCCGGACUCCCUAACCUUGAGAAACUAAUUCUUAAGGAUUGCAUUAAUUUGGUUGAGGUUGAUGAAUCCAUUGGAAACUUGGGGAAACUUGUUUUCUUGAAUCUAAAAGACUGCAAAAGUCUUAUGAAGCUUCCAAAAAGAAUGAGCAUGAUGAGGUCUCUUGAGGAACUUAUUCUUACCGGUUGCUCAAAGCUUGUGCUUCAUGAUAGUGCCAUGGUUAUUUAUAUUCACACUACAUCAAGGGAUAUGAAUAAACUUAGACUGUUGUCAACUAUAUCAUGGACACCAAUCAGGUUUUGGUGGAUGUGGGCAUGGCCAAGAAAGACUCUUCAAUCAACCAGUUUCUCACUGGCAAGUUUACCACGUUGUUUGGGAAGCUUAAGUCUGUCUUACUGCAACGUGUCAGAGGUUCCCAAUGAUUUAUGUACACUAUCUUCCUUGAAAUAUUUGAAUCUAAUUGGUAACUCAAUUUUGUGCCUACCACAAAACAUGAAGAGUCUUAUUAUGCUCGAGACUCUUUUGUUAGAUAAAUCCAUAAACCUUGAAAUGCUUCCAGAGCUGCCCCCAAGGUUGAAGAGGUUGGAAACAAAAUAUUGUACAUCAUUGAAAAGAUUAACAAAUUUACCAUUGUUCAGAUCAUUAGAAUCACUGUUUUGGGGUUGCGAGCAAUUAGUUGAAAUUGAAAGCUUGUUGAAUAUAAAACCGUCGAGAAGCGCUGAUAUAGAAAUGAGAAGAUAUAUGGGCCCGUUCAAUUUGAAAUCCAUAACAAGCACUGAUGUUGAAAUGAUCAACUACUUGACCAGUACAACUAGGAAGGUUCCUGUCCAGGGAGUCUAUGAAUGUGGCGUAUAUAGCAUUUUCCUUCCUGGAAGCAAGAUUCCAGAUGGAUUUGGCUUCACAACAAUAUAUGGAUCAGCGCUGUCGGCUAUUGCAUCUUCACAUCCUAAUCUCAAAAUCCAAGCCUUGAAUGUAUGUGUUUUAUAUGCAAUAGAACCGGGCUUGGCAAUUGAUGACUAUCUUGUUAGUGCUCAGCAUUUGAUUAAAGUCAGUAAUCAGACCAAGGGUCUUAUGUGGACCUAUUCCCCAGUCACAGUAGGUUUUCCAACUGAGAAGGAAGAUAUGUUAUGGCUAAGCCAUUUUCAAAUUGGGAACAAUGAAUUGGAGUAUGGGGACCAAAUACGUGUUUCGGUGGAGAUGCAUGAUUUUUGGAUAAAGGAGUUCGGAAUCCAGCUUGUGUACGAGCAGGAAAGACCUCCUUCUAGCCAGAAUAAUGUUGUUGCUGGAGAUGUGUCAAUGUCAGCAUCAGAGUACCAAAUGUGGACAGGAAAAUACUUUAAUCAUAGGCACCGUACUCAUCAAACUCAAUUCCGAAAGAGACAGGAGAAUCCAGCACAUAUUGAAUUUUCGUUUGAGCCAAAGCAUCAGCUUCAUACUUAUUCAAGGCCCAAAGACCAUUGAAAAUAUUUUGAAACUUAGAGCAUGUCCAGCAGAUUCCCCAUCUACUUCUACUCACCUAUUUUGGAGAAAAUGAAGAGAAACCUCCCUCCUUAGUUCUUUUUCCAACAUCAUUCGUUCAUGGUUGGAAGGAAAGAUCAGCAUCAAUUAUCUUGGGCGUGUCAGCAUGUCAGAGUGUCUGACACUUUGAGGUUUGGGAGUGUCCGUGCAACCUAGGCUUCAAGAACGAGAUGGACAAGGUGGAGAAGUGGAGAAGAGCGCUUACUGAUGUUGCAAAUCUGGGAGGGAUGGUUCUAGAAGAUCGGGUAUGAGUGGCAGUUUAUCCAAGAUAUUGUUCAAGAGGUUGGAAGUAAGCUGGAUCGCGUGGCAGUAAAUGUUGCUCCCUAUGAUGUUGGAAUCGAUAUUUGUGUGCACGGAAUCAACAGAUGGUUAGAAGAUGAUUCGGGUGAUGCUGGUGCAGCGGUUAUCUAUGGGAUGGGUGGAAUUGGCAAAACCACCAUUGCCAAAGCUGCUAAUAAGACGAACCUUGCAAAAUUUUAAGGAAACGGCAGCUUUCUUGCAGAUAUUGGCUUGCAAAUAAAUCUUCUUUCCGAUAUCCAAAGGGUGAAAGUAAAGAAAAUAAGCAAACAUGAAGGACUAAUCAAGAUUAUGCAUGCUGUAGGUUGCAAUAGAGUUCUUAUAGUUCUUGAUGAUGUGAACCAUUUGGACCAAUUCAAUGC
Molecule: non-coding RNA, 4475 nt
Organism: Malus domestica (apple)
Lineage: Eukaryota; Viridiplantae; Streptophyta; Magnoliopsida; Rosales; Rosaceae
Source: RefSeq, a predicted model, not a curated record